RNAcentral lists this transfer RNA (105 nucleotides) under Monodelphis domestica (gray short-tailed opossum). Lineage: Eukaryota; Metazoa; Chordata; Mammalia; Didelphimorphia; Didelphidae. The record is from Rfam by way of RNAcentral.
GACUCUUUAGCACAGUAGGCAGUGUGUCAGUCUUGAAACCUGAAGGUUCGAUCCUCGGAAGGAGGGUAUGAUAUACUGGGAGGCUUCUGGAGACAAGAAGAGUCU